Molecule: ribosomal RNA, 332 nt
Filed under: uncultured bacterium
Lineage: Bacteria
Description: bacterial SSU rRNA
Rfam family: Bacterial small subunit ribosomal RNA
Source: RNAcentral
CGGGUAGGCGGUUCGGUAAGUCUCUUGUGAAAGCUCCCGGCUCAACUGGGAGAGGUCAAGGGAAACUACCGGGCUGGAGGGUGGCAGAGGAAGCUGGAAUUCCCGGUGUAGCGGUGAAAUGCGUAGAGAUCGGGAGGAACACCUAUGGCGAAAGCAGGCUUCUGGGCCAUCCCUGACGCUGAUCUGCGAAAGCUAGGGGAGCAAACAGGAUUAGAUACCCUGGUAGUCCUAGCCCUAAGCGAUGCUCAUUAGGUGUGAGAGGUAUCGACCCCUUUCGCGCCGAAGCUAACGCAUUAAAUGAGCCGCCUGGGGAGUACGGCCGCAAGGUUGAA